This 112-nucleotide ribosomal RNA is filed under the name Eutypa lata. RNAcentral describes it as "partial 18S ribosomal RNA". The stretch from base 1 to 68 matches the Rfam family "Eukaryotic small subunit ribosomal RNA", at positions 1764 to 1831 of the family's 1831-position model. Lineage: Eukaryota; Fungi; Ascomycota; Sordariomycetes; Xylariales; Diatrypaceae. The record is from RNAcentral.
CUUGGUCAUUUAGAGGAAGUAAAAGUCGUAACAAGGUCUCCGUUGGUGAACCAGCGGAGGGAUCAUUACAGAGUUACCUAACUCCAAACCCAUGUGAACUUACCUAUGUUGC